AGGUAUAUAUAUAUUACUAUUUAAUACAUGUAUCUUAAGGAAUAUUUUCAUCGACUGUGCUGCAGUUUUUUUCCGUAUAAAGAAGGGUCAGAAUGUGUCCCUUCAAGUUUUUUUUUUUUUUUUCCCUUCAAAAAAGAAGCUAAAAGGGUCAUGAUUGGUAGUUAAUGGAGGUGUUUGUCUGGUAGUAAAUGUUAAUCUAAAUCAUUAGUAUAAUUAUUGCUAUCAGAAUUGUUAGUUGCUAACGUGUCACCUUGUGACUCAAAAAUACAAGUAAUCGCGUGGCCUGAAGGGGCGUGAUGAGGUAUAAUACUAACACACCUUGAUAUUUACCGCAAAAAAAAAAUUAUUGAUACAGGAAGGUGAUGAAAGAAUUUGCAUUGAAGUUGGAGAAACUGGCAGAGGAGCUCCUGGACUUGUUAUGUGAGAAUCUUGGACUUGAAAAGGGGUACCUCAAAAGGGCUUUCUAUGGAUCAAACGGUAGUCCAACCUUUGGCACCAAGGUCAGCAAUUAUCCACCAUGCCCCAAACCAGACCUGGUGAAGGGUCUCAGGGCCCACACCGACGCUGGUGGCAUCAUCUUGCUAUUCCAGGAUGACAAAGUCAGCGGCCUCCAGCUUCUCAAGGAUGGCCAGUGGAUUGAUGUGCCCCCGAUGCGCCACUCCAUUGUUGUCAACCUUGGUGACCAACUCGAGGUAUAUACCCUAUACUCUGCCUAAACUACUGUAACCUAGCUAGAAUCAAAUCUAGCUUACAUUUUCUAGCCAUACUAAAUUCUCUGGAUAUGUAGGUAAUCAC
Molecule: long non-coding RNA, 795 nt
Filed under: Populus trichocarpa (black cottonwood)
Lineage: Eukaryota; Viridiplantae; Streptophyta; Magnoliopsida; Malpighiales; Salicaceae
Description: long non-coding RNA (PTRI_LNC003348)
Source: RNAcentral